UCGGGGCGUGGCUCAGCCUGGUAGAGCGCUGCGUUCGGGACGCAGAGGUCGCAAGUUCAAAUCUUGUCGCCCCGAU
RNAcentral lists this transfer RNA (76 nucleotides) under Allorhodopirellula solitaria. RNAcentral describes it as "Planctomycetes bacterium CA85 tRNA-Pro". It matches the Rfam family "tRNA". From Rfam's summary of the family: Transfer RNA (tRNA) molecules are approximately 80 nucleotides in length. Their secondary structure includes four short double-helical elements and three loops (D, anti-codon, and T loops). Further hydrogen bonds mediate the characteristic L-shaped molecular structure. tRNAs have two regions of fundamental functional importance: the anti-codon, which is responsible for specific mRNA codon recognition, and the 3' end, to which the tRNAs corresponding amino acid is attached (by aminoacyl-tRNA synthetases). tRNAs cope with the degeneracy of the genetic code in two manners: having more than one tRNA (with a specific anti-codon) for a particular amino acid; and 'wobble' base-pairing, i.e. permitting non-standard base-pairing at the 3rd anti-codon position. RNAcentral also lists the same sequence under 1 other name. The record is from RNAcentral. Lineage: Bacteria; Pseudomonadati; Planctomycetota; Planctomycetia; Pirellulales; Pirellulaceae.